UGUGAAAUGUAAAUAUAACUUUGUCCUAGAAAUUUUGUAGAUAUAAGAUAUAUGGGUCGGAGGGAUGGGUUUGAUGAGCCCAGCCCAUCUAAAGUCCAGUUUUAAUUUUGUAAGCCUGACCCAGUCCGGCCCGUUUCUAUUAGAACCCGGCCCGGACCGUAUACGGCCUACUUGUUACCAUUACUAAUUGUUGUAAAUUGGCAGUUGCCGAACCGUGCCCGUAUCUCAUUCUCGACUAAUAUGGAUUACGGCUAUACCUCCGAAAUCCAAUUGGUCGAGGUUGCACAAAAAUGGUGAAGAGGUUCUUCAAUGGCGGUAGUACUCCUUCCAAUUCUAUUGUCAAUGAUGCUCUAAUUACGCUUCUUUCUGGUCCUCCAUCUUGCGGGAAAACGUCACUGCUAUUUCAAUUCGCCUUCAAUGUCGUAGUUCAAUCAGAGUCACAGGGAUACGUAGUCUUCAUCUGCAACCGACGUCGUUUUCAAACCAAACCUCCAUUCCUUUCUCAGGGAAUUGAUGAUUCAUCUCCUAUUUUUGAACGAAUUCAAAUCAAGUACUUAGAUGAUUAUGAUGACGAAGGCCUUAAGAAAUACUUUUCUGCCUUUCAUCUUCUUAAUCCUUUUCCUCUUGCUGUUAUUAUUGAUGAUUUUGGUGACUUUUUUCUUGAUAGCAAGUGUCAACAGAGGUAUAAUAAUCCUCGUGGAAGGGACUUAGCCAUGGUUCGAGUUUUAGCCCUGUCACAUAGUGCUAUUUUUCAUGCCAAUAAAACAGCAUCUUGUCAACUUUUGCUGUCUGAUACGCACCAUGGCGAUUCUCCGAGGCUCCUUUUUCUUUACAAGAGAUGGGUUUCGUCUAUUUUUACCAUCCAAGGUGAAAGUCAGGGAUCAGGCUCGUUUUAUCUGAAGCACAGGGUGCACGCAGCAGGGAGUGAUAGCAGAAAAAUGAGUGCAAAGUACUCUAUAGCUCUUCAGUACCUGGUUUUGGAGGGAAUUGUAGAAGAUGAUGCUCAUUUGUGAUAUCUCUGAUGCUCGGUAAAUCUAACAUUUUGGGUGGCUUUCCAACUUGUAGCCCUGUAAAUGAGGCGAUGGAUGCGAAGGAGUGGACAAGGAAGCUGGAGGAACAAAUGGUGACAUAGCACCUUAUGAUGAUGAUGGAGAUCUGCGAGCUGAUGAAUGAUCGGAACCUCUUGAAGACCGGCUACUCGAACCUCCUGAAGAGUUACCUCGGUGGCUCGAACCCCUAGAAGAUGGAGUGUGGAACGUAUCAUCAUCUGCAGCGGGGCGAGGAGUCGGUAUGAGGUAAUCAUACCCCAUCUGACUCAAUACCUCAGUCAAUGAAGUGUUGAUGGAGCCUAGGGUCUGAGUACACAUCCGAUACCCCACAUCAACAGGCAAUGUAGCGGCUCCAUGCAUCGUGUCACUGCACUGUACACAGACCGAUCUAAUGCGCUCAGCCUGCAUGCAAACAAUAAAGUGUUAAAAUAAAUCACAUACGUAUUACUAUAUUUCUGACUGUUAAAAGAAGACUUACUAAAAACGUAGGUAUGGAUGGUAAUACGAUCCUGGCUGUGCAAAUGUGGGGUUCGUGAUGCGUAAUAUGGAGAUUUGUCUGUACCACGACAUGUAUGCACCUAAGCUGUGACCGGUGUAGUUCUCUCCCUGAACCAAUUGAGCUGCUCUGUCAUUCCACGCAUCUACAUGCAAUCUAUGUCGUAUCAAGUAGUUCUUGUCUGCGGUCCUCCGAUCAAUCGCAUGUAGUGCAACUUGGGUGUCACAGGCAUCAGGAAUAACCUGCUCCAAAUGGAAUUUACACAUUACACGAUCCGGUAGAUGGAACUCGACACAGUCAAAGCAAAUGAGUGGACAACGCGAUCUCUAUAUACCCUGGCCCGCUCUACAUAUCUCUGGCAAAGCCUCCAUCUUAGCCACUAUGUAAGGCUUCCAUAUGAUCUGUAAUACAAAUCAAUAAACUCAAUUAUUAAAACGAUGUAUUCAGAUCUAACAAAACUUAUUAAUCAUAAUCACCUGGUCGUCUCUCUGUCGAUCAAGAGUCUCGAUAGUGGACUAGAGUAUGUGGGGAGUGGGACCUCGAAAGAUGUACCCUAAGUCAACUGCAAAGAAAUGAAUAUUAUGUGAUAUAUCCAACUUCAUAUAAUUGUAUAAUUUGAAUUAAAUCGAGAAUUGAUGAUUAUUACCUCAUUGCUAAAUAAUCCCUCCACGCUGAUGUUGUGAAUCUAAAGACUGACUCAAAAUCCUCUGCGUCAUUAUCCUGAGCAUGUUGCCCAGGGGCUCAAACCAUUCGAAUCACGGGCCUCCCUAUAUGAAUAUGCUCCCAUGACGAAUAUCUGUAACAACAACAAGCAACCUCCUAUAUCCUUGGCACCCUUACGUGACGCCCGACAUAAAUUACGAUAUAGAUACGCAAUGGUAGCACUUCCCCAACUAUACUCGGCAACCCAGUCUAAGUCUCGUAGGAGAGGGAGAUAGAUCAACUACACCGAGUCACCACUCUUGUCUGGAAACAAGAUGCAUCCAAACAUAUACAAAAUAUACGGGCGGGCAUGCUUCUCUAAUGUCGUUUCAUCUGCAUCUGGCCCCAUCAUGCUGAAUCUAUCUCUAAGCCAAGUCAACUUCAAUGAAUAUUCAGUGAUAAUCUUCGUCUCCGUAGGGUCUUGAGGGUUUUCAGGCAAAAUCCCCAAGAGCUCAAAAACUAAGGCUUCCCAAUGUCCCUCUCCAUGACUAAUGACUGCUUGUCCAUCAACCGACAGUCCAAGUAUAAUUGUUGCAUCCUGCAAAGUAAUAGUCGUCUCGCCAACAGUAAGGUGGAAUGUAUGAUUCUCUAGUCUCCACCUCUCGGCUAACGCAGUGAUGGAGCUCGAUCAAGCUCCAAACCUCCACCUAACAACCUAUGGAUGUAACUAAAACCUGCUAACUUAACUAACUCUAAAACUAUCAUCCACCUGCCAAUCUAACGUACUCACUUGGUAGUGUUGACGAAUAACCAACUGAAAGGUGGAGCCCUUCCACCCACUUACGCUCCGAUGGGUCGCAUGGAGUGUAAGUAUUGAUCGAUCAACUAGUCCCGUAUCGUCAUUACACCUGUAACAUAUAUACAUUUCUAUCAUAUUCAACAUAAUGACAAAUUAGCAUACAAGUAAAGAAUACAUACCUAGUUGAGCUUUGACUAUCCCUACGAGGGCAUGUUUUCCUAUUAUGACCACUAAUUCCACAAAUGCCAUAUAUAUAUAUAUAUAUAAAAGAAAAGCUAGCUCUCGAAUAUUUCUUACUCUGCCAAUCAGCUUUAUGUCUUGUGGAAUGUGCGAAUGAGAGUUUUCGAGAAGCAUGCUUAUCAUUUUGGUGUUCCAGAAUCCAAAAGAUUAAAGCAACUACAAAGCUAAAAACAAUUGUGGAUGCUAUUAUGUAUUUAGUGACUGCUAUCAAAGAAAUUCCUCCGAUCUUGGACGUCUUGUGCUGCUUUACACGAACCAACAUUGAUAUAGAAGUGUCCAGGUAUGGCAAUGUAAAAUUAACCCACUGUGUUCUAUAGUAUAGUAUUGAAAUCUCCCGAACUACACCAUCAUACUCCUAGGAGGUUAUUAUGGAACACUAAAAAUUCAGAAGUUUUGGUGUUAACACAUGCCUAAAGGAGACCGUCUUGUACAGUUAUUUAACAUUUUGAGACAGUACUUAAAAAUAAUUUGUAGCUAUUUAUGAAAUAGAAACUUGCCUGAGAAGAAGCGACCUUGAGCAUGUCGUCAAAAGUGCCAUUCAUGGUGCCAUCAGGCUUAGCAAAGGGGAUCAAGUUGAAAGGUAUCGGGAAGGCUGCAAGGCCCGUAUUUGGUACAACCUUUAAUAGAAAAACCACUAAAGCUAUUCUCCCCAGUGAUGGGAUCUUGCUUAAUGGUCACAAAAUCUGUAAAACCUCGGAUAAGAAUCGUUAUUUUUAGUCUUGAAGGUGUUGCUGCUGUGAAAUAGACUACAUUUAAUAAAGCUUAAUUAUAAGUGAUUAAGCUGAUUGGGAUUAUUAAGUAUGUUAAUUCGAGUAAUAAUAUUAUUAUUUUGAUAAUCUUGACUCAAGUAUUUCAUUUGUUAACAUUUUCAAGAAAGAGGUAUAUUUUAUUAACUGAUUACUAUCUUAUCUUUAUAACAAUAAAUAAAAAAAAUAAUAAUAACAAAGCUUUUCAGAAGCUUUCACGUGAAAUCCCAACCCAACUCAUGCUCAUCCUUCUUCUACAUUCUUCCAAAUGAACGCUCAUAAACCCCCUCCCUUAUCUUCUCAGUGUUCUACCUUCAUCUCUUCCAUAGCUUUCACACUUUCACUCUUCAUGGAAUCGGACCACCGCAGACCCACCACCGAAGCCCAACCUUCUCUCUCUUUCCUGUGACGCCAACUGCCUCCCUUCCAGCAGCCGGCCUUGUGCCGCCAACAGGAGCAAGCAACGACUCUUUCUCCUCCCUCCACCAUCACCCACGUGAGUCACCACCACCACAAGGACCAUCUAUCUCUUGGUCCACUUCUUAGUCUCACUCUUUAAAUGGUGUGAUCUUUGAACAUGAAAUAAUUGGGGAUUUUGUGACUCAAAUUGAAGUUCAAGAUUGAAAGAUGAAAGGUCCUUCAAUGGUGAUUGAGGGCCUAUCUCUCACAGGAGAUAGAUCCACUUUCAGGUUGCCAUCUUUAGUGCGGAUGGAUGUGCUGCUCAUUUAUGUGUCGUGCGUUGCGAUAGCGAGGACAUCGUUUCCGGAAGGUUAACUUAUAAUAAUAUUUUGACAAAUCAUGUUUUUUUUAUAAAAAAAUAGAUAUUUUAUAAUGUAUUAACUUAGUUUAUAACUGGGUUGUAAGUAAUUGUAUUACAGUUUUGUAAAGUUUUUAAAUACUCUGAUAUUGGUUGCUGUGACUAUGGAGCCACAGGUCGGAUUCAGCCCAGACUUCUUUAAGUCUUCCGCUAUGCUUUGUAGACAAUAUUAUUAUAUUAUUUACGCCGAUUUGGGCUGUUUCA
RNA transcript from Amaranthus tricolor (Joseph's coat), 4993 nucleotides. RefSeq lists it as uncharacterized. NCBI's taxonomy places the organism in Eukaryota, Viridiplantae, Streptophyta, Magnoliopsida, Caryophyllales, Amaranthaceae. The transcript has 8 exons. The record is from RefSeq and is a predicted model, not a curated record.